AACGCGAAGAACCUUACCAAGGCUUGACAUAUACGAGAACGCUCUAGAAAUAGAGAACUCUUUGGACACUCGUAUACAGGUGGUGCAUGGUUGUCGUCAGCUCGUGUCGUGAGAUGUUGGGUUAAGUCCCGCAACGAGCGCAACCCUCGUUCUAUGUUGCCAGCGGUUCGGCCGGGAACUCAUAGGAGACUGCCGGGGUCAACUCGGAGGAAGG
RNAcentral lists this ribosomal RNA (214 nucleotides) under Schumannella luteola. Its description in RNAcentral is "partial 16S ribosomal RNA". It matches the Rfam family "Bacterial small subunit ribosomal RNA", at positions 958 to 1173 of the family's 1533-position model. Lineage: Bacteria; Bacillati; Actinomycetota; Actinomycetes; Micrococcales; Microbacteriaceae. The record is from RNAcentral.